RNAcentral lists this ribosomal RNA (460 nucleotides) under uncultured bacterium. RNAcentral's name for it is "partial 16S ribosomal RNA". It matches the Rfam family "Bacterial small subunit ribosomal RNA", at positions 338 to 795 of the family's 1533-position model. The record is from RNAcentral.
CCUACGGGCGGCAGCAGUGAGGAAUAUUGGUCAAUGGACGAGAGUCUGAACCAGCCAAGUAGCGUGAAGGAUGACUGCCCUAUGGGUUGUAAACUUCUUUUAUAUGGGAAUAAAAUGUUCCACGUGUGGGAUUUUGUAUGUACCAUAUGAAUAAGGAUCGGCUAACUCCGUGCCAGCAGCCGCGGUAAUACGGAGGAUCCGAGCGUUAUCCGGAUUUAUUGGGUUUAAAGGGAGCGUAGGUGGAUUGUUAAGUCAGUUGUGAAAGUUUGCGGCUCAACCGUAAAAUUGCAGUUGAAACUGGCAGUCUUGAGUACAGUAGAGGUGGGCGGAAUUCGUGGUGUGGCGGUGAAAUGCUUAGAUAUCACGAAGAACUCCGAUUGCGAAGGCAGUUCACUGGACUGCAACUGACACUGAGGCUCGAAAGUGUGGGUAUCAAACAGGAUUAGAUACCCUUGUAGUC